This 492-nucleotide ribosomal RNA is filed under the name uncultured bacterium. RNAcentral's name for it is "partial 16S ribosomal RNA". It matches the Rfam family "Bacterial small subunit ribosomal RNA", at positions 28 to 507 of the family's 1533-position model. The record is from RNAcentral.
GGUGAACGCUGGCGGUAGGCCUAACACAUGCAAGUCGAACGGCAGCACAGUAAGAGCUUGCUCUUACGGGUGGCGAGUGGCGGACGGGUGAGGAAUACAUCGGAAUCUACUUUUUCGUGGGGGAUAACGUAGGGAAACUUACGCUAAUACCGCAUACGACCUACGGGUGAAAGCAGGGGAUCUUCGGACCUUGCGCGAUUGAAUGAGCCGAUGUCGGAUUAGCUAGUUGGCGGGGUAAAGGCCCACCAAGGCGACGAUCCGUAGCUGGUCUGAGAGGAUGAUCAGCCACACUGCAACUGAGACACGGUCCAGACUCCUACGGGAGGCAGCAGUGGGGAAUAUUGGACAAUGGGCGCAAGCCUGAUCCAGCCAUACCGCGUGGGUGAAGAAGGCCUUCGGGUUGUAAAGCCCUUUUGUUGGGAAAGAAAAGCAGCAGGUUAAUACCCCGCUGUUCUGACGGUACCCAAAGAAUAAGCACCGGCUAACUUCGUG